GAUGAAGAACGCAGCGAAAUGCGAUAAGUAAUGUGAAUUGCAGAAUUCAGUGAAUCAUCGAAUCUUUGAACGCACAUUGCGCCCGCCAGUAUUCUGGCGGGCAUGCCUGUUCGAGCGUCAUUACAACCCUCAGGCCCCCGGGCCUGGCGUUGGGGAUCGGCGGAAGCCCCCUGCGGGCACAACGCCGUCCCCCAAAUACAGUGGCGGUCCCGCCGCAGCUUCCAUUGCGUAGUAGCUAACACCUCGCAACUGGAGAGCGGCGCGGCCACGCCGUAAAACACCCAACUUCUGAAUGUUGACCUCGAAUCAGAUAGGAAUACCCGCUGAACUUAAGCAUAUCAAUAAGCGGAGG
This 352-nucleotide unclassified non-coding RNA is filed under the name soil metagenome. Its description in RNAcentral is "partial contains 5.8S ribosomal RNA, internal transcribed spacer 2, and large subunit ribosomal RNA". The stretch from base 1 to 120 matches the Rfam family "5.8S ribosomal RNA", at positions 35 to 154 of the family's 154-position model. The record is from RNAcentral.